GCCACACAGCUAGUAACUGUCUUGGGCCUGAUAGAACCUUCAGCUUGGAUCUUCAGCUUGGACCUUGACUUUUGGACUGCUUCUUGGAGGACUGCUACUGGAUCUUUUCCUCUGGAGGUCGGUGUUGGAGGAUUUCACUUUGGGACUUGGCCUUCAGUCUUCUCCUUUAGAGUUUGUUCCUUUGGAGUUUGUCUUGGGUGGUCAUGGAAGAUGGGUCCCCUGCUGAACUCUUCAGAAGUCAACCAUUCACCCCAACACCCCUUCUCUGGUGGUGAGUAAGUGGCAAAUGAAAAGAUUCUCUCAGUACUGGUCCUGUUGAUUGACAGGGCAAGUGACGGGGGUACCUGAUGAUGCC
This 355-nucleotide long non-coding RNA is filed under the name Monodelphis domestica (gray short-tailed opossum). RNAcentral's name for it is "lncRNA (ENSMODG00000033472.2)". The record is from RNAcentral. Lineage: Eukaryota; Metazoa; Chordata; Mammalia; Didelphimorphia; Didelphidae.